CAAUGUGUAUGAUCUUCAUCUAGUUUCUUGGUUACUCUUUUGUCUUUAUUGCUCUAUUGUUUAUUGACUUACACUUGGUUUAUGGACUUUGAGCUUAAGAUAAGAUAAGAUAAGAUAAGAUAAGAUAAGAUAAGAUAACAUAAGAUAACAUAAGAUAAGAUACGAUUUAUUGAUUCCAAGGGGAAAUUAGAGUGUAGCAUAGAUAAAAGACAAGGCCAAAAUACACAUAAGAAAUAACAUAAGAAGCAAAUAAAGAUAAAGUGAAAUAAAUAUUGAAAUCCAGUAAACAUACUGAUAGCAUGUAAAGCUCAAAUUUCUGACAAUAGAUCAAUUGUAUAUAUUUUAGCUUCCAUUUGUCUAGGUAUGUUUUAAGGUGCAAAGUGAUUUCCUUCUGUUUUUGCAUUUUAAAGAAUACGUCAAGAGUUUGUAUCUCAAUCUGUAGUGGAUCAUGAAUUUUUCAUCACCAUGCUUUGAGACACUGGGGAAAUGAACAAAGCCAAGAAAUGCAAUAGGGAGAUGCCUUCCUGAUUCUCAGGGCACAUUGAAAUACUACAGUUGCCACUACCACAGCUUCUGGAAGUAGAUGGAUAUUGCAGUUCAAAACCUGGUUGACUCUGCCAGUCAAGACUUGGCCAUCGAUGGAUCAUUCAAGAUGAUGACAGUAACCAUAUAUUUUAUUUGACCAUAUACAAAACCUGGCUGAUGUUGUAACUAUGACCACACAGAAUGUAUUAAUCUUGUAUUCAUUUUGAAGUCCAUCAAUGUCCAGUAUGGUGUUACAACUAUGAUUAAUGUACAACUAUUAGUACGAUAUGUUUGGAGUGGUUGUCUUGCACAAAGCCUGGAAUAAUUAUAAAUAGGCAUGGAUCCAGGAUACCUGAGCCAAAAGCAAUAACCCACACAAGGACCAUUGGUAAGCAACAUCUAUGAAUGUAGCUGCUGCUAAGUGCUACUGAGAUUUACAUUUGGUUGGUCUGUCUUCAAGCUUCAUGAUUCAAGGUUAUCUAACAGUAUUAGUACCUUCCUGUAUUCAGGCAAACAAUAAAGCAUCUGUGUUAAGUAAUAAAACAAUGUCCCUUUUGGGUUUGCCUUGGCAUUAAGUCAUAUUAAUUUAGUUUUAAAUCCUGCCCUUGGCGAGAAAAUCUUGAGAUGGCAAUCCAUUAUUAGUGUAUUUGCAAGAUGAGCUCAGGGAAUCACUCGACAUCUAUGUUUUUUCCCAAUGAACAGCAUCAGUGCCAAGUCAGACAGAUGUACAUCUCUGCAGUUCCUUUCCCGUCCUUUAUUGGCACCCAGUGCUGCACUGGCAGUGGGCUUUAGCUGUGGCAUGGCACUCCAGAAGAAUGAGUCACACACUAGCUCUGCUACACACCAAAAAAUCCCAUGCUCCACCACAACAGUGAGCCCAAACUGCAAGGUGAAUAGUUUGGACACUGAUGAAAAGAAACUAUUUUAACUCUGUUUUAAUUACAAACAAGGGAGCUAGAAAAGCACUGAUAGGAGGUGCUCAUUUGCCAUCGUCCAUCUGUGCUCUCAAUUAAGGCCCAAGAAUUUUGCAAUUUGCACAGACAUUACCUUGAAAAGAGAACUAACCCAGUGCACACUGACUGCGUAUCUUUAAUAAUCAUUCUAAUGCUAGCCAUUGGUUUCAUUUUGUUCUGAAUGAGAGAUGAGAGGCAUUAAAAAGAGUUAGUACAAGCUAGUAUCGCAUGCCAUCCUACUAUUUGGUUUCUUGGUUUUUGUUUGUGGAUGCUUAGUGGGUAUGUUAUGGGUUCAUUAUUGCACAACAUUAACCCUCUAUGGUCCCAACUUAUAAUUCACUUAAAGCAUUUUGUUCAUUAAUUACUUAUUUAUUGUAUUAAAAAGCUACAGUUAGGAAAUAGAAAGAGCCAUGUGAUUAUGAGAUUGAGGAAGGUAAAUCUGUAUGCCAGUAUAAUCUUUAGGUUUUAAUAUCACUGUGUGUGUUUUGUUUUGGUAAUACGGUAGACUUAUACAUAUCUCUUGGUUUUGGCAAUCAGUUAUUUAUCAUAUUUUAGUGUAUGUAUUGAAAUUGUGCUUUCUCAGAUAUGAAAAAUAGGCCCCUUUUACCACUGUGUUUGCUCUGGAAUGCUCCACCAAAACUACAGACUUGAUGGUAUCACCAUGCUAAAGUCAUACUGUUCCCAUGGAAACUAGUUAUUGCUACCUGAAACAAAGACGAUCUCCAAAGGCAAAUGUACUGACUUCAACAGGUUUCCUGCAUCUUUGACUAUCAAGACCUCCCUGGAAAGAGAGGAGUAGAAGACAGAUUAAUGGAGUGAUUUUGUCUAAAGUGAAUAUAUGGGCUGUCCUCCCUGAGAUUACCUCUGCACUCAGCAGCUACAGAGGAGCAUACAACCUUGUUUUUCACUGUCGCAACUUGCCCCCUGAGUUCAUGCAUAUAUGUAUAUAUAUUCCCCAGUUAAAAUGUACAGGUUGGCCAAAUUUAUCUAUAAGUUUUUCCUGAAAACAACUAUAGUUGGAUUUUUUCCUGUUUUCAGGAAAAACGUUUAGAUAAGUUUGUGUACUGAAAUACAUGCUUUCCGCACACUAAAAUAAUGAAAAAUAAUAGGGGUGUAAUGCAAUGUCAUUAUCCAUAUCUGUUUAGUGCUCAAAAAACUUGUAUCUUUUUUCAUAUUCAGAUUUUAAUAUUAACCCUACCACUAUGCACUGCUAUAAAACACUGAAACAAUUGGGCGGCUGGAAAAAAGAACACAUUUUCAUGCACAUAUUAUAACAAAUAACAAUUUGCAAAACAUUAAAUUUCUAAACCAGACACCCUGUGGCAAGCUUUCUAUCUUGUAUGUAGUGUGACUUAGUAAGCAGGUUUACUUCAAAACAAUGUCUUUUCCAAAUCGAGAACUUAUUCAGGCUACAGCUGACAACAAUAGCCAUCUAAUAAUAUCUUACCGGAUUUACUUCGGUUUUUAUGUUUGUUACAUUCCAGAAAUAUCAGAAACAUUUGCUGGACACAGUGCCAGAAUCUAUUAUGAAGCUGGGACACACUCUCAGUGUUUUAGCCAGUCGAAAUUGGGGCCUUUCAGCAGCCUUUCAGUAUAAUGCCUUUAUGAUUUUCUGAUUUUUUUUAAGAACAUUUAAGAGCAAUAAUUUAAGAACAACAAAAAACACAGCACAGUGAAUGUAAGAGUUUUAUAAUAUUUUUUAUAAGCUAUAUGGGCAAUGACUCAAAAUAUGAAAGCACAUUUCUUUUGUUUGUACAGAAAUAUGGCAGAAAUAUGGGUUUAUUUUGGAGCUCAGCAAGGCAGUCUUUAGGUUGGGCUAAAACCAAAGAGUGCAUCUCUCAUUUGUAUAAUGUUAAUAAACUCGGUAUAUGAUCCAUGGGCAGGGUUGCCAUUUUCUGUAUAGUGCAGAUACACAGUAUACUGCAAAUAAGAAAUGCACACCACUGUUAACUUGUUCCCUUGAAAACACUGUAAAAAAGGAGAAAAAAUAUGUCUGCAUUUUUCUAGUCCCGAACCUUUUGGGUUAGUUUCAUGUUUUGUGUCUUUUCAUUUAUAUGAGCUUAUAGAAACUAUAAGUGCAUUACCUGUGUGUAAAUGUGUGGAGUUUGAGGUUGUGUGCAUUUUUAAAAUGAUUUUGAAAGUUGUAGUUCAUCUUAAACAGAUUUAAUAAAAAUGCUAAACAUGGUUCGUUUAUUUGUUAACAGUAAAGUAUGGGUAUGCCCCUCCCAGCCACCAUGUCUCUUGAACACUGAACACUACAAGAGUACAUAAAGCCUGUUUGUUUUACAUGUCUUUGUGCAGUAUUGCCAAACCCAGAGUCUGGGAUUUCCUGUGUUCCUGAUUUCGAGCUUUGGAUAAUGUUAAUGAGUCACCUUCUUACAGACACCUUAUUACACCUUGUUUGCCAGACAACAGGGAUUUUAUGUGAUCUGCUGUUACUGCUCAAACUUUGUUGCUAGGCACCCAUGAGCAGCAAGUCCAGCAAAUGAUAUAAGCUAUGGAGGAAUUGGUCCUGGUCUACUGAGAUCCCACGUCACAGGCUGCUGCUAACCCUCAAUUCAUGAGCCAUCAACCAACCUUUCUUCCAUCUCUGCAUAACCACACCUUCAAAGCAGUGAUACUGUGAAGAACGCUCGGUGCUAGGGCCAUUAUCAAUUAAUGUGCCCUUUGGACAAGUGUCAAGACAGUCUCAGCUGCAUUUCUGAGCAAGAACAGUAGCAUUAGCUACACCCUCUUGUUUGCAUGAAAAAAUACUUUAAUUGUAAAUAUGUUGAUUUUAUAUUUGACAUUUUUUUGUGUGUUUCCUUGACGUCAUGCAUACUCUCUUUCAACUGCAUCUAAAAAUCCUGAAUUUCAAAAUGUCCUCUGUAAAUCUCAUACAGUUACACCCGCUUGCCUUCUAAAACUAGGAAAUGUCUGAUGUAUAGAAUGUAAAGAAUAAAUAAUAUAAAAAAUUUUAUGCAUAAAAAUUGCAAAUAAAUAAAUAAAUA
Long non-coding RNA from Pangasianodon hypophthalmus (striped catfish), 4468 nucleotides. RefSeq lists it as uncharacterized. Lineage: Eukaryota; Metazoa; Chordata; Actinopteri; Siluriformes; Pangasiidae. The transcript is spliced from 5 exons. The record is from RefSeq and is a predicted model, not a curated record.